CUUACCCACUGAACUUAAGCAUAUCAAUAAGUGGAGGAAAAGAAACUAACAAGGAUUCCCCUAGUAACUGCGAGUGAAGAGGGAAGAGCUCAAAUUUGAAAUCUGGCAGUAUUUUGCUGUCCGAGUUGUAAUCUAGAGAAGUGCUGCCCGUGCUGGACCAUGUACAAGUCUCCUGGAAUGGAGCGUCACAGAGGGUGAGAAUCCCGUCUUUGACAUGGACUCCCAGUGCAUUUGUGGUGUGCUCUCAAAGAGUCGAGUUGUUUGGGAAUGCAGCUCUAAAUGGGUGGUAAACUCCAUCUAAAGCUAAAUAUUGGCGAGAGACCGAUAGCGAACAAGUACCGUGAGGGAAAGAUGAAAAGAACUUUGGAAAGAGAGUUAAACAGUAUGUGAAAUUGUUGAAAGGGAAACGCUUAAAGUCAGUCAUGUGUCAGCCAGGGAUCAACCUAGUAUUGCUUGCUGGGUGUACUUCCUGAUCUGAUGGGCCAACAUCAGUUUCGACUGCUGGAGAAGGGUAGAGGGGAAUGUGGCACCUUUUUUGGUGUGUUAUAGCUCUCUGUCAGAUGCAGUGGUCAGGACUGAGGAAGGCAGCAUGCCCACAAAGGGCCGGGUUUCGACCACGUUCAUGCUGAGGAUGUUGGCAUAAUGGCUUUAAUCGACCCGUCUUGAAACACGGACCAAGGAGUCUAACAUGCCUGCAAGUGUUUGGGUGUUUAAACCCAAGUGCAGAAUGAAAGUGAAAGGUUGAGAUCCCCUGCCAUACGGGGGGGAGCAUCGACGCCCAGACCUGAACUUUUCAGUAAAGGAUCUGCGGUAGAGCAUGUAUGUUAGGACCCGAAAGAUGGUGAACUAUGCCUGAA
This 857-nucleotide ribosomal RNA is filed under the name Amanita sp. 'senex'. RNAcentral describes it as "partial large subunit ribosomal RNA". It matches the Rfam family "Eukaryotic large subunit ribosomal RNA", at positions 21 to 841 of the family's 3401-position model. The record is from RNAcentral. Lineage: Eukaryota; Fungi; Basidiomycota; Agaricomycetes; Agaricales; Amanitaceae.